GAUGUGAAAGGAGCUGGAGAACAUCUGCUGUAAACCUCCAUCUGCUGGUUCACCUCUUUUUGACAAUUACCUUAUAGAAUAAAGGCAUACAGGCUUGGACUGAUAUGAGGGUGCAAAAUUACCAACAAUCUCAACCUUACCUGCAGAGACCACAAUGAUUUGUCUGAGGCCCACCAGGGAGAGGCAGAGAAGAGAGUGAAAAUCAACUUGAAUGGAAGUUGAGUUUCUUUUUCCUUCCCUGCCAGCAACAAAACCACCACACUGAAAUCAGGACCGGAGACAUGCUCUAAUUCUUUCUGUCUCCUUGUUUUUAGCCCUCUAUCAGCUUGUUUUAUGUUCCUUUCAAU
Long non-coding RNA from Cyprinus carpio (common carp), 347 nucleotides. RefSeq lists it as uncharacterized. The transcript has 3 exons. The record is from RefSeq and is a predicted model, not a curated record. NCBI's taxonomy places the organism in Eukaryota, Metazoa, Chordata, Actinopteri, Cypriniformes, Cyprinidae.